RNAcentral lists this ribosomal RNA (582 nucleotides) under Enterobacter asburiae. Its description in RNAcentral is "partial 23S ribosomal RNA". It matches the Rfam family "Bacterial large subunit ribosomal RNA", at positions 2238 to 2819 of the family's 2925-position model. Lineage: Bacteria; Pseudomonadati; Pseudomonadota; Gammaproteobacteria; Enterobacterales; Enterobacteriaceae. RNAcentral also lists the same sequence under 1 other name. The record is from RNAcentral.
AUCCGGGUUGCGGACAGUGUCUGGUGGGUAGUUUGACUGGGGCGGUCUCCUCCCAAAGAGUAACGGAGGAGCACGAAGGUUAGCUAAUCCUGGUCGGACAUCAGGAGGUUAGUGCAAUGGCAUAAGCUAGCUUGACUGCGAGAGUGACGGCUCGAGCAGGUGCGAAAGCAGGUCAUAGUGAUCCGGUGGUUCUGAAUGGAAGGGCCAUCGCUCAACGGAUAAAAGGUACUCCGGGGAUAACAGGCUGAUACCGCCCAAGAGUUCAUAUCGACGGCGGUGUUUGGCACCUCGAUGUCGGCUCAUCACAUCCUGGGGCUGAAGUAGGUCCCAAGGGUAUGGCUGUUCGCCAUUUAAAGUGGUACGCGAGCUGGGUUUAGAACGUCGUGAGACAGUUCGGUCCCUAUCUGCCGUGGGCGCUGGAGAAUUGAGGGGGGCUGCUCCUAGUACGAGAGGACCGGAGUGGACGCAUCACUGGUGUUCGGGUUGUCAUGCCAAUGGCACUGCCCGGUAGCUAAAUGCGGAAAAGAUAAGUGCUGAAAGCAUCUAAGCACGAAACUUGCCCCGAGAUGAGUUCUCCCUGAC